Molecule: RNA transcript, 661 nt
Organism: Zalophus californianus (California sea lion)
Lineage: Eukaryota; Metazoa; Chordata; Mammalia; Carnivora; Otariidae
Gene: SEC61B
Gene name: SEC61 translocon subunit beta
Exons: 5
Source: RefSeq, a predicted model, not a curated record
UAUAUCCUCUCUUUGGCAUAUGGUGGGACAACUCAGGCGUCCCUGGAGCCGGCGAGGACCCUGCGAGGGGCCUGAGGGCGGGGCCUGAGCCAGCCUCUCCAGCCGCCGGUCCUUUGAGGACUCCACCGUCCGCUUCUUGGGCGUCAGUUUCAUCCUCCAGGGCCUUCCAGUCUUCAGCAUGCCUGGUCCGACCCCCAGUGGCACUAAUGUGGGCUCGUCGGGGCGCUCACCCAGCAAAGCAGUGGCCGCCCGGGCGGCUGGAUCCACGGUCCGGCAGAGAAAAAAUGCGAGCUGUGGAACAAGGAGCGCGGGGCGCACAACCUCAGCAGGCACUGGGGGCAUGUGGCGAUUCUACACAGAAGACUCCCCUGGGCUCAAGGUUGGCCCUGUUCCAGUAUUGGUUAUGAGUCUUCUGUUCAUCGCUUCUGUAUUUAUGUUGCACAUUUGGGGCAAGUACACUCGUUCAUAGAUUCGGCUACAUCCAUCUGUCUGUCAUCUGAAGAAGAAGGAAAAAAAAACAUAUCUUGGACCAAAUGCAUAGUGACUUUCUGUUUGUGAGAAAGAAGUAUUCUGUAAGCUUAUUGUUUUACAGGGAACUUAAGAAUUGAUUUAAGGAAUCAAUUUUUUUCUAUGGCUAAUAAACUUUUUAAUUCAUUUAUAC